RNAcentral lists this long non-coding RNA (7544 nucleotides) under Malus domestica (apple). RNAcentral's name for it is "long non-coding RNA (MDOM_LNC012639)". The record is from RNAcentral. Lineage: Eukaryota; Viridiplantae; Streptophyta; Magnoliopsida; Rosales; Rosaceae.
ACGUCACGGGGGUUACGACCCAUCGACUUAUCAGUGAGUGGGCAGUUUUGUUUUCGUAUUACCUAUAUACUACUGUUUUUCCCAAAAAAUGCAAUUAUAUGAAAAUAUGUUUUAAAAUGCCAUGCAUGCAAUCGAUGAGAUAUUUGAAUUGAUAAUUGAUGCAUAUAUAUGUGAAUUGACGCUGUUGACGCACAGGUGAGUUUUUACAUUAUUCAUACGAUUUAUUUUAUGUGAAUUGCAUUGGAAGCUCAUAACCUGCACCCUAGGUGUUAGUGUUUAUAAUAUUCACUACACCGCACGCUCGCCUUGGAUCCAAGUAGGUGGAUGUCGUACAGACUACUAGAGGUGGUUCCGACAUGCCAGUCGUACAGACCAUUAGAGGGGUUCCGACUGGUAGGUGACCUUAGAUUAUGUGCACAGAUGAUUGAUGAGAGAAGCACUAGAGCGUAUUAUUUCACCAUCUUAGUCGUACAGACUACUAUAGGUAGUUCCGACUUAUGUGCAGUGUAGUGCCGUACAGGUCACAGUUAGUGACUCUGGCAGGGCCGUACAGGUCACAGUUGGUGACUCCGGCUGGAUGGGAUAGUGAGCUAUAGAAUCAGCCGUACAGGACCACUGUAGGGUCUCCGGUUGAUUUAUUAUUUCACCUAAGUUAUAUUGAUGCAUUCAUAUUAUAUUUUGGCAUGGCAUGGCAUAUUCUUUCUGAGAUGUUAUGUUGAUAGAUGGUGAGCGGAGUUUUGAUGAUAUAUGUAUAUAUACGUUUAUAUACUAUUUUUUUUGGAAAGUAUACAGGUUUUACGGUGAAGGGUUAGAAACGUUUUAAAUGAAAUGCUUUUGGAAAAUCUUUGGUUUUACUGACCCACUCAUCUUUGUUUUACGCCCCUCCAGGUUCUAGUUAGCAGUUGGUGGCUCACGAGGUCUUUUUUUGCAUUCUGACAGACGUUCUGCAUGUAGGACUCACCUGCGGGUGUUGUACUUUAAUUAUGGUCCUACUUGACUGCACUUAUACCUACGCUCUGAAUUCAUGUGUUUUACUUUAUAACUCUCUCUUGUAUGCUAGUAGGUUAUUCUGCUAGUGGUUGGUUUAAAUUCCUUCAUAUUUCUGUUAUAUCUUGCUUUCGUGUCGCACUUUUGGCUACGUCACGCUCACGUGACGGCCAGCACGCCUUGAUUCUAGGAUCGGGGUGUGUCAAUUUGGUAUCAGAGCCUAGGUUGCAGUCCUGUAUAAUUAUUAAUGCUCUAAUGAUCUUUUGAUGUUUUUUGUCAGAAUUAUGCUGCCUCGUAGGGAACGUAGGGAAUCCCGCCGUACUCCUGAACCUAAUUUCCCUGAUAUCACUCAGUUAGGGGAAGCAAUGGCCCAGGCUCUUCAGAAUACAAUUCGUCCUCCUCCCCCUCCUCAGAUGACGCCCCUAGAGACUAUGUACAAUUUGAAAUUGGAUCGUUUUAUGGGUAAUGAAGGUCAUGAGGGGGCAGAGAAAUGGCUAGACCAUAUUGAGAAGACGUUUCAGGUGAUGGAAAGUCAGGGGAACUUUCCUGCUAAUAGGUGGGUUGAGACCACUACCUGGUUUUUGGGCUGAGAGCCAGUAGCUUGGUGGGAAAAUCAGACUAGGUUUAUGUCACCUGAGACGGCUGCUGACUGGAAAGUAUUCAAAGAGAACUUUAUGAAGAGAUUUGUCCCUCCAGAAUACAUCGAUCGUAAAAAGCAAGAGUUUACUCGAUUGAAACAAAGGAAUAUGUCAGCACAUGAGUACUACAGAAAGUUUACUGAUUUGUCUCGUUAUGACCCUGAUACAGCUGGUAAUCAGGUAAAGAUGCUUCGACGUUUCAAGUUGGGAACUAAGAGAAAAUGGCGGACUUUUGCCAGUGCACUUCCCUGCGCCGAUUAUCAUGAGUUUUUCGAGAUUUUGGUUAGGAUGGAGGACUCCGAUAAUCUUCCCAGUGACAGUGAGGAUGACGAGGACAAGAAUGAUGGUCAGAAGAAGGAUGAUAAAGGUAAGGGUAUCUCCAUUCCAGGACCUCGUAAGACACAGAAUUUUAAGAAGAGUGGAGCGAGUUCGAGUUCUUCUAGUGGAGGAUAUAGUAUUACUGGCCCGAGGAGAGGUGGUGGAAGAUUUUCUGGUGGACCCAGAUUUCAGAGGCAGAGGGAUUCCGGUGGUGCUGGUGGUUCUGGUGCUCCGUGGUGUCGCCGUUGUAAUUUUCGUCAUCAUGGUGAGUGCAAGAGAGGUGGUGGUGCUUGUUAUGCUUGUUAUGCUUGUGGACAAAUGGGACAUCGGGCUUCUCACUGUCCCCAGGGUCAGCAGAGACCUCAGCAGACCACUAUGCCACCUCCAGCGCCGAUUCAGCAGAGCUUUGGACCAGGCAGUUAUGGCCAGUCGGGUCGUGGUGGUGCUUACCACUACUAGGGGGAUGCUGCUCCUUAUGCUUCCGGACCUUAUCAGUAUCCCCAUGAGCCUUAUUCUCAGACGGGGUAUUCCCAGGACCUUGGGGGUUAUUCUUCUUAUUCUUCCAUGCCAGCUGAUGGAUCUCAGUGGCAUCAGGGAGGCCAGCCCCGUCAGGGAGAAGUUGCUGCUGGUGGUGCAGGAUCAUCUAGGCAGCCUAGUCAGUCAGGCCAGGGACGUACUUCUCAGGGGCGAGGUAAUCAAGGCAUCAGAAGUCGUGAUGGACGACAGCAAGCUUAGGGGCGUGUUAAUCACAUCUCACUGCAAGAUGCUCAGAACCAUCCAGAUUUGAUCAUGGGUACGUUAAAUGUUCUUGGUCACUUUGCUAGAGUUUUGAUUGAUUGUGGUGCUACGCAUUCUGUGAUUUCUCAUACGUUUGCUCAAAUGACUCAACCCCACCCUUCACCUCUAGGAUUUGAUUUAGAGUUUGCCAUGCCUAGAGGAGAUAAGUGUUAUGUUGAUAGUGUGUAUCUUGGGUGUCCAGUGUUGGUAGAGGGCGUAGUUAUGCCAGCUGAUCUUAUUCCAUUAGAUAUUGUGGAUUUUGAUGUGAUUCUCGGAGCAGAUUGGUUGCAUUAUAAUCGUGCCCAUAUUGAUUGUUAUGGGAAAUCAGUUACUUUUUAUCGCCCUGGACUACCCGAGGUUACUUUUGUGGGCCAAAGAAGUGGGGUGAGACAUGGUGUUAUUUCUGCCAUAAGAGCAAGGAAGUUAUUAUCGAAGGGUUGCCAAGGAUAUUUAGCACAUAUGGUGUUAAAUGAUGUUGUUCCUAGCAGUGUGGAAGAAGUUGGUGUGGUCAGGCAUUAUCCUGAUGUAUUUCCUGAUGAUUUGCCGGGGUUGCCUCCAGAUAGAGAUGUGGAAUUCUCUAUCGAAUUGCUUCCAGUUACAGACCCUAUAUCUCUAACUCCUUAUAGAAUGGCUCCAGCUGAGUUGAGAGAAUUGAAAAUUCAGUUACAAGAACUACUUGAUAAAGGUUUCAUUCAACCUAGUUCGUCACCUUGGGGAGCUCCAGUAUUAUUUGUGAGAAAGAAAGAUGGAACUCUGAGAUUAUGCAUUGAUUAUAGGCAAUUGAACCGGGUAACAAUUAAAAACCGUUAUCCAUUGCCUCGCAUCGAUGAUUUGUUUGAUCAGCUGAAAUGUGCGUGUGUAUUUUCUAAGAUUGAUUUGAGAUCUGGUUAUUAUCAGUUGAAGAUUAAAGAUGAAGAUGUACCUAAGACGGCUUUCAGAACCCGUUACGGACAUUAUGAAUUUCUGGUUAUGCCAUUUGGGUUGACUAAUGCGCCUGCAGCUUUCAUGAGGCUAAUGAACGAGGUAUUCCAGCAAUAUCUUGAUAAAUUUGUUAUUGUUUUUAUUGAUGAUAUUCUGGUAUACUCUAAAUCUAAAGCAGAUCAUAUCCGACAUCUUAACUUGGUAUUAAAGAAAUUGAGGGAACAUCAGUUGUAUGCCAAGUUCAGUAAAUGUCAGUUUUGGUUGACUAAAGUGGCAUUUUUGGGGCAUGUUGUAUCAGCACAAGGAAUUCAAGUAGAUCCUCAAAAGAUAGUAGCAGUGGAGAAUUGGGAACAACAUCGAACCGUCACUUAGGUACGAAGUUUUCUUGGUUUGGCAGGUUAUUAUCGACGGUUUGUUCAGGACUUUUCUAUGAUUGCUUUGCCGUUAACGAAGUUGACCAGGAAGGAUGUUAAAUUCGAGUGGGAUGAGAAUUGUGAACGGAGUUUCCAGCAAUUGAAAUAUUGCCUCACUUAUGCUCCAGUAUUGGUACUCCUUGAUGAUAGCAGUAAUUUUGAGAUUUACAGUGAUUGCCUAUGCUUCUCGACAGUUGAAAAAUCAUGAAAGGAAUUAUCCUACUCACGAUCUUGAAUUGGCAGCCAUUGUCUUUGCUUUGAAGAUUUGGAGGCAUUAUUUAUAUGGUGAGAAGUGUAAGAUCUUCACAGAUCACAAGAGUCUCCAGUAUCUAUUUACUCAACAUGAUCUUAAUCUUCGUCAGCGAAGGUGGAUGGAAUUGCUGAGUGAUUAUGAUUGCACUAUUAAGUAUCAUCUGGGUCGUGCUAAUGUGGUAGCUGAUGCACUGAGUAGGAAACCUCAAGGUCGACUCAAUGCUUUAUAUGCUUGUCGUGUUCCCCUUCUUGCAGAACUAAGGGCAACGGGAGAAAGUUGGAGUUGGAAGAUCGAAGCGGAGCUUUUCUUGCUAGUUUUCAAGUCAGGCCAGUUUUGGUUGAUCAUAUACUCGAAGCUCAGAUGGUGGAUGAGGAAAUUCAAGAAAUGGUUCAAUUAAGAAAUGAAGGGAAAAAGAAAGACCUUAGGAUUCGAGAAUCAGAUGGCAUGCUUAUGCAGGAGAACAAAAUGUAUGUACCGAAUAAUGAGGAAUUAAAAAAGGAAAUUUUGGAUGAAGCGCAUUGUUCAGCUUAUACAAUGCACCCAGGAGGAACUAAGAUGUAUCAUACCAUUCGACCAUUUUAUUAUUGGCCGGGUAUGAAAAGGGAAAUUGUAGAUUAUGUAAGUAGAUGUAUUAUUUGCCAGCAAGUCAAAGCAGAAAGAAAAAAGCCUUUUGGGCGAAUGCAGCCACUUCCCGUUCCCCAGUGGAAAUGGGAAAAUAUAACUAUGGAUUUCGUAUAUAAGCUUCCUCGUACACGAAAUGGAUUCGAUGGUGUUUGGGUGAUUGUGGAUCGACUUACCAAGUCAGCGCACUUCAUUCCAGUGAGGGAAAAGUAUCCUCUAAAUAAAUUGGCUAAGUUGUUUAUCACGAAGAUUGUGAAGUAUCAUGGAGUUCCAAUAAAUAUUAUUUCUGAUCGAGACCCAAGAUUUACUUCUAAAUUUUGGGUAGCUUUUCAGGAAGCUCUUGGUACGAAUUUGCUUUACAGCACUGCUUAUCAUCCUCAAACUGAUGGGCAAUCAGAAAGGGCUAUUCAGACGUUGGAGGAUAUGUUGAGAUCUUCAGUGUUACGGUUUGGUGAUUCCUGGCAUGAUCGCCUAGACUUGAUGGAAUUUGCCUACAAUAAUAGUUUCCAUUCGAGCAUUGGGAUGUCACCAUUUGAGGCACUUUAUGGUAGGGCGUGUCGUACGCCAUUGUGUUGCUCUGAGGUUGGUGAAAGAGUGUUAGAAGGCCCAGAGAUUGUGAAUGAGACUACUCAAAAUAUUCAGGUGAUUAAGUCCAACCUGAAAGUAGCCCAGGAUCGACAUAAGAGUUUAGCGGAUCGACAUGCUACUGAUCGAGUGUAUGAUGUGGGUGAUUGGGUAUUUUUUGAAAUUGUCACCUUGGAGAGGUGUGGUACGAUUUGGGAAAAGAGGAAAGUUAAGUCCUAGGUACAUAGGACCCUAUGAGAUCAUUGAAAGGAUUGGUGAAGUUGCCUACAGGUUGGAGUUACCUCCGGAGUUAUCUAAGGUUCAUAAUGUGUUUCAUGUCUCUAUGCUUCGACAUUAUAUUUCUGAUCCUUCACAUGUAAUCCCUCCUCAACCGCUAGAGAUUAAUCCGGAUUUGACGUAUGAUGAGGAUCCAAUCACUAUCUUGGAUUGGAAAGAUAAGGUUCUAAGGAAUAAGACGGUGAGCUUGGUAAAGGUGUUGUGGAGGAAUCAUUCUGUAGAAGCAACCUGGGAGACAAAAGAUCGAAUGAGAGAGAUGUACCCAAGGUUAUUCUAUGGAUAUUAAGCGGUUUAUUUGGUUGUGGGAAUUUCGGGGACAAAAUUCUAUAAGGAAGGGAGAUUGUCACAGCCCGUCCCGAAAUUUUUUUAUCGGGAGUGCGAAAUGACGAAAAUACCCUUGACGGGUAUUAAGGUACGUGUUUGACAUAUGUAUAUAUUUUAUGGACUAAUUAUCAUCCCUAAACUUUUGGAGAAAAUUGAGUUGUAAAUUUGUGUGGUUAGGGAUUGAAGUGAGAUUGUUUUGGUUGGAACACACCCUCACACACGGACUCACCUGUCCUUCCCCCUCUUCCCCGUGUCUCUCUCUCUCCUCCCUCACGUCUUUCUCACUCUCUCUCACCCUCGAUCGUACGGACAACACCAAAACCCUCCAAAACUUCGUGGAUCGAAGCAAAUAAGGUAUGAUUCUUCACCCUCUUGAUGUUCUAAGUUGAUUGAUACUAAUUUUAGGAAGUGAAACCCUCGGAAUCGUUGUGAAACCCUAACCCUGAAAAUGUGCACUGUUCAUGCACAUGUGAAAUCUUGCAUUUCAGGGAAUUUCAAGCUCACAGUGAGCUUAAGGACAUCCUCACGAGCUUCGGGGUACUUCGUUGGUGAUAUUUGGACGUCGGAGGACCGAGAACGAAGGUUCUCAAAAAUUUAUGAACUAUCGUGCUUCCCCAGGUAAAAUUUAGUGAAUUUUAGACCUUCAAACUAGUCCAUCGUGAUUCUACAUGUUGAGGGCUUCAAAUUGAUAUAAAAUUCAAAGAAAUCGGUUGAGAAACGAAGGAGAACAAGCAUUUUUAAAACUCGCCAGAAUUCGGCCACCGGAAAAAAACCAGUCCGGCGACUGGCUGAGGAAGAUGAUGCGCGAGGGGGCGCGUAGGCCCGUGCCACCCACGGCGCGUGAGGGCGUGUGGCAAGCCUAAAAAUUUUCCUAAAAAUUCCUCGACGUCCGUGACGUCGAGUAGGUCGAUGUGGUAUAUUCAUAUACCCAAAUUGAGCAUCGUAUGAGAAGUUAUUUCGAAUUGUUGGUUAUGUGUUUAAAUUAACGUUUUUAUAGUUGUUUCGCAUAUAGGUGACACCUAUCCCAAGGACGAGCGCAUCCAGGGACGUCACGGGGGUUACGACCUAUCGACUUAUUAGUGAGUGGGCAGUUUUGUUUUCGUAUUACCUAUAUACUACUGUUUUUCCCAGAAAAUGCAAUUAUAUGAAAAUAUGUUUUAAAAUGCCAUGCAUGCAAUCGAUGAGAUAUUUGAAUUGAUAAUUGAUGCAUAUAUAUGUGAAUUGACGCUGUUGACGCACAAGUGAGUUUUUACAUUAUUCAUUCGAUUUAUUUUAUGUGAAUUGCAUUGGAAGCUCAUAACCUGCACCCUAGGUGUUAGUGCUUAUAUUGUUUACCACACCGCACGCUCGCCUUGGAUCCAAGUAGGUGGAUGUCGUAUAGACCACUAGAGGUGGUUCCGACAUGCCAUUCGUACAGACCAUUAGAGGGGU